Felis catus (domestic cat) is the source of this 662-nucleotide long non-coding RNA. RefSeq lists it as uncharacterized. NCBI's taxonomy places the organism in Eukaryota, Metazoa, Chordata, Mammalia, Carnivora, Felidae. The record is from RefSeq and is a predicted model, not a curated record. The transcript has 2 exons.
UGUUGACGUCCUCUCUGUGUUCCAGACAUCACUGAUUCAACAAAAUCCCCAAGGCCUCUACCAAGGCCACCAGCUCCUGGGCAGGCCCUGUGGAUACACAGCCCUCAAGGAGCCCCCUCGCGGCCCACUUAGCCGAUCACGAUGAACAUGCAAUUUUGCUGAGGAAUAAAGCAGGUGUUUCCAGUUAGGAGGAAAUAACUCAAAUAAUAAAAUGCGAUAUCUGAACAGCUCACCGGAGGCAGUAUGCUCUGCAUCAUUCCAGAAGAACUCAGUGUGCAAGGCCCGGUGUUGGGAGCAACCUGGACUGUCUUUGUAGAGAGAAUGCAAUGUGGUUUGGUUGACCUAAAAUGCCCCUGUUGGGCGUGGACACAGCUCAUCGGGGAGAAGAUUUUCCAUGAAGGAGAAGGCUUUUAGCAUAAACGAAUGUGAAAAUCGGCGAUGCCCAACCAUGGCUGAUUCGGCAGUGCACAAUUUUUCUUGGAAACCGAAAUCCUGUAAUAGCUUGAGAGCUCCUGCUAAGAGGCCCUGUGGGUUUAAUGGGGUAAUCAUGUUACAUAUACGGUCCUCUUGAUUGUCUGCCCUUGGCCAUGUAUCUGUGUCCCUCUGCAAAUGGGUGCUUGCUUAAAAGGAUUCCCAUGCAAUAAUCAGUUGCUACCUCUUUA